Molecule: non-coding RNA, 21 nt
Filed under: Arabidopsis thaliana (thale cress)
Lineage: Eukaryota; Viridiplantae; Streptophyta; Magnoliopsida; Brassicales; Brassicaceae
Source: RNAcentral
GAGGACCGAGUGAAGUGAUGG